RNAcentral lists this ribosomal RNA (253 nucleotides) under uncultured bacterium. Its description in RNAcentral is "partial 16S ribosomal RNA". It matches the Rfam family "Bacterial small subunit ribosomal RNA", at positions 524 to 776 of the family's 1533-position model. The record is from RNAcentral.
UACAGGGGGGGCAAGCGUUGUUCGGAAUUACUGGGCGUAAAGGGCCAGUAGGCGGCCAACUAAGUCCGACGUGAAAUCCCCAAGCUUAACUUGGGAACUGCGUCGGAUACUGGAUGGCUUGAAUUCGGGAGAGGGAUGCAGAAUUCCAGGUGUAGCGGUGAAAUGCGUAGACAUCUGGAGGAAUACCGGUGGCGAAGGCGGCAUCCUGGACCGACAUUGACGCUGAACGGCGAAAGCUAGGGGAGCAAACGGG